CAUUCUGUAUUUAGUGAGUACUAGCCACAUAGCACUGUACUGUUUGGUAGGUAAAAUGCAACAGAAAACACUCUCUUCUGAGAGCUUAUAAUCUUAUUGGAGGAGAUUAUGUGCAUAACUGUAAGCUUCUAGAGGAAGAACUUUUUUCUCUAUUCUCAGCACCUAGCACAGUACCUGGCACUCUAUAUGAAUAUUUACUAGAUGAAUGAGUAAGAACAAAUGCCAAAGCAACCAUAUCAAAAUGUAGUUUAAUACAAAGUGAGAAAAUGAAUGUGUGCCAGUAGAGUACUGGGUGUCUUGAUGAGGAGUCUUUUAACUGUUUUCAGAUACAAGUAAACUAUCAGAGAGAAAGUAAUGCAGUAUUUAAAAAUUGCAUCCAUCACAUUAUUCAUCAUACUCUAAAUCCUAUGGAACAUAACUUUUCUGAGUACUGUGCUUUCUCAGAAUGUGGAAGUGUAUACACAAGUAAAAAGACCAAUACCAUCCUUAAUACUAAAAUUUUCUGAAUACUUACUGUUACUAUAGGCCACAUGCUAUGCUAAGAACUAGGUAGCAUUUAUUUUUUAACCUCAAUAUUUCUGUGAGAAAAAUGCUAUUAUGCUCAUUUUACAGAAAGUAAACCAUGGUUCAGUAACGCUAAAUAACUUAGUUUAAGAGGUGAAGGCAAGAUAUGAACCCUAGUAGUUUGACCUCAGAGCCCAAACUCAUACUCGCUUGGCAAUUUUGUCUCCACAGAAGAUUAUUAAAAUAUAAAAUACUGUUUUUAUUUAGAGGGGUGAAUACUGAGGAUUUCAUACACACCAUACUCCAAAUUACAUACAAAAUGCCUGAAUGUGACUUAGUUCUGAUAAGCUCAGGGCCAAGCAGAUACAGUCCAAAGGUCUCAAAGACAGUCAAAACUAAUGCCAAGUAAUUGAUCUGUAUUUGGAUUAGUGCUGAAGAAAGAAUACUUGGCCUCUUGAUUGUGUGAAAGUACCAAUGCAGAAUAACGAUACUAGUUUUACUUGCACGGUAGCAUUUUUUGCCAAAAGCAAGCAUUAGGUACACCCACAAGACAAUUAAAGCAUUCCUUCCAGGAACAUUUCUAGAAACAGAUGACUAAGGGCUGAAAAGAAAUAAAACUCUACAUGGCACAAUAGCCAUACACAAAUUAUAUAUUACUAGAUGCUCAAAAAAUACUUGUUGCUUAAUAUCAAAACCAAUGAUGAUUCCUAAACAUUGUAUUAUUUAUCAAACCUCUAGCCUAAAGGAUACUGAUACCAUCAAAGCAUUUAGGCCCCAGAAUACGUUUGAAAACAUAAUAUAGUUAAUUCCUAAGUUAUGAUCAUACAAAAAGUUUGUUGUUAUGUCAGAGAUUUGGAAUUUAGAACUCAUGUUCCCACAGAAACAAUGUUAUAAACAGUACUCACUUUACCAGAAUCGCUCAUAUAUGGACUAUAAAUUAAUAUAAAGCACGGUGGAACUUGGCCAGAAUGCUAAACUCUGAAUAGGAAGAACAGAAUAUGGAGCCCAGGUCUGGACAUCCGGUGAAUUAAGGACUCCAAAGGAAAGCACUGGUACAGUUUACCUUCCAUUCCUGAGAUCUGACGGCCAGCCUGGGCCAAGCAAUUUUGCAGUUCUGCUUCUGGAGCCCGAUACCCAUCUGUCUGAAUAUACUUCACAUCCUAAAGAAGAUGAGUAAAUAUUACAACCAAUAAAAAACUGUUCACUUUCCUUCC
This is a long non-coding RNA of Zalophus californianus (California sea lion), 1718 nucleotides long. RefSeq lists it as uncharacterized. Lineage: Eukaryota; Metazoa; Chordata; Mammalia; Carnivora; Otariidae. The transcript is spliced from 3 exons. The record is from RefSeq and is a predicted model, not a curated record.